CUUACCUCAGCAGAAGAAUCGAAAUAACUCGUGAACACUUUCGAGCAAUUUUUUACAACUUUCGACUUGGGUUAUUACGACAAGAGUGCAUCGAUGAACUUAAAUCUUUGUAAGGCGAUGAAGUGCCAUCAUAUAGCCCUGUGAAAAACUGGUUUAAUGGAUUCUAUCGUGACCGAUGCUCGCUGGAAGACGAAGGUCGUCCAAAAAUAGACGUUGUGCCAGAAAACCAUGAUGCAAGAUCGUCAUGUGAUAUAUCGUGAGAUAGAGGCAUCCUUUCACAUUUCUUCCACCAGAAUAAUUCGAUAUUGGAUGAACAUCUGGUCGUAAAAAAGGUUUGUUCUCGUUGGAUCCCGCACAAUUUGAGAAUUGCUCAAAAAAGCCUUGUGUGGAUUGGUUCAAAUAAAUUUUGAAAAAAUACAUACACUAAGCAGAAAAAGUUUGCGUACAAACUUAACGCGCAACUUUGAUGUUAAAUAAAAAUAGUUAUAUUCAUGAUAUUGACUUAAUUUUUUUUUUAAAUUAACGACAUAUCUAUUAUGAAAAAAUAUAACCAGUCUUCAAUUAUUUCCAUCAGCAACUUUUUCAAUUAAAAUCAAAAAAUAAAAAAUACACCUGUUUUCGAAUCAGAAAAAGUCUGCGUACAAACUUAAAUUAGUUUAAAAAAAGCCAUUUAUUGAUAAAACAUUACAAAAAUUAGUACGAGGUAGGAUAAAUAGGAAGGUUUAUUGUGCCAAUCAAGCGUUUUGGCAUUGAUUAAACCAAUUUUUGGUGAAUUCUGGUGGUAUUUCGAUCCACUCAUCCAAAAUUGCUCCCGAGGGAGGAAACCGUUCGUCAAACUGGACCAAAUAGGGAAAUCUCAGCGGGAAAUUGUCGAAUUUGUUUUUAAAACGCAUUCAAUGAUUAAAAAAGUCCAAAAAAAUUGGAAUCAAACCGGCACAGUUCAAUCAAAGCCACAUUCUGGUAGGCCUCCAAAGCUGACCGAUCGAGAAGAGCGGGAGGUUUUGAAGUUGGUGAGGCGUAAUCCUGGGUCAACUGCCGCAAAAAUUGGUCAGGACAUAAAGGAGAACUAUAAGAAGGAUUUACAUGAUAAAACAAUCCGAAAAAUUUCCAAAAAGUAGGACUUUCAUGCCUGUGUUGCUCACGCUGCCACCACCGUACUUAACUGUUGGCGCAAGGUUAUGCACAUCAAGGGCUGUGCCAGGUUUGCGCCACUCAAAUUUUUGCCCUUUUAUGUCAAAUUGCUCCAAUAAUUGAAAAUAACUUUGUUCCAAAAGGCUAAAGGCUCUUGGAUGAAUUUUUUGCAAAAUCAAAGCGCUUUGCUUUACUGACGGGUGAUAUGAGAAUCUUCUUCCGCGCAACACAGGCAAACCUUAUGUACCCCAUAGUGCAAUCUUUAAGCUUCACGGCGCGAGCUAGGAAUUCAUUUUAGACACAUGGUUUCAUGGUGAAAUUUUCUUAGAAUUCUUCGUAGAUUCCGAUUAUGGGGGACGAUUUUCAUGAUUUUUUGGACAGGAACAAAUUGACCCGCCCUAGUAUACAUAGUCUUCCAAAAAUGAAAAUUGAUAGAAUAAAUAUUAACAUAUUAAUGUCCAAUCUGAACCUCUCCAUUGUGAGAAACCUGCUACCGUUUUAAAAAAACUGCAAGCGCCAUGCUCAUUUGAGCUUGUAUCAAAUGAUGCUCUCCCCAUUUAACAGAAUGUUACCUAACAUACUUUCCGUUUACUUUAAACUAAACAUUGUUUCUACAAAAAAUCUAUGUAACAGGCAAAAAGAAGUAUUGUAUUUGCGAUCCCAUAUACUACAUAUAUAUAUUCCUAAUCAGUGACAACUUCUAUAAAGAUAUACAUACAUAGCUACCCCGCAGAACUUGAGGUGUCGAUUUGCCAUGGGUAAAUGCUUACCUCGCCGAUCACUACAUGUGUACUUACUAAAGUGACCCUAUAGUAAACGAACGUCGAACCACCUAGUUAUUAAAUAUAUGCGUAUUAAAGCAUAAGUACAAAAUAACGGCAAGCAUCGCUUUCGUUUUUGUUAUUUUGUGGAAAGGGCAUACUAGAGGUGGGCCCGGGCACGCACGAAAACAAACUCUUUUUUGAGAGGCCCGGCCCGGCCGAACACGAAACAUUUUCAUCAAGGCCCGGGCCCGGCCCGGCACGAAACUUAUUUACACAUAUAAGAAAACAUUAUUGCCAUUAUAAUUAACGCAAUCGAAAAGCUUCCACACUUCACUCCUGCCCUUUUCAUUUUGUAUAAAUUUUACACAUUCACUUUUUUUAUUUACAGCGUCCUGAAUUGUUUGUCGCGACAUUUUUAUUUUUCACAUAUUUGCUAAUUUCACAAUAAGCCGCCAAUUUUGAAUUAGUGGUGUGCAAACAAAUAAAAUAUUGUAUAAGCAAAUUAAUAGUAGCAUCGAUAAGCAAUGCGACAAAUGGCGGUUCUAAUUCGAUCAAAUCAAAAUUUUUUUCGGGCCUAUUUCGGGUUUUUACGGGCCGGGCCUUUUUGCUAAGGCCCGGGCCCGCACGAAGCCCGUACGAAUCUUAAUUUUAAGGCCCGGGCCCGCCCGAACCCGCUCCGGGCCUGUGUAAGCCCGCGGGCCACGAAAAAAAGCCCGGCCCGUGCCCACCUCUAGGGCAUACACAAGAUUAAAGACAAAAUUUCGAUUACGUUUUCAUCGCUGUUUACGCGUCUUUGUUUUAUUUUGUGCUAUUCUUUUGCUUAAACGCAGCUGUUUGCUGGCUGAUGAAAUUUUUGCAAGCAUUUGAGUUCAGAAGUGCAAAGCGGAUCCGCGGUCAAUUAUUAGUUAGCAUAGUUAGCACAGUGGAAAGCGAAAAUGUGCCUAAAGAAGAGGAAGUGGAAAUUAUGACAGAAAAUCUACGUUAUGGAAAUAAUGACAGGGGAAUGCGGUCCUAAAAAAAGUGUAAAUUUCUUUGGUGUUAUGAUUGAUUCAAUAACUGAGGACCAGUUGAGAAAGGCCUUGUAGCUCCAAAAAACAAACGAUAUUUUCAACUAAAGUUGCCUUAAAGUAAUAAAAGUUUCCGACUUAUUAAUAUAAGAAAAAUUAAAAUUAAAUAAAAACUGUAAUUGUAAUUGUAAAUGUUUUUAAAUUUAUAAUGACCGACCCCUCCG
Long non-coding RNA from Drosophila albomicans, 3126 nucleotides. RefSeq lists it as uncharacterized. The record is from RefSeq and is a predicted model, not a curated record. The transcript is spliced from 3 exons. Lineage: Eukaryota; Metazoa; Arthropoda; Insecta; Diptera; Drosophilidae.